AGUGAACGCUGGCGGCGUGCUUAACACAUGCAAGUCGAACGAGAACGGAUUAUAGCUUGCUAUAAUUGUCAGCUAAGUGGCGCACGGGUGAGUAAUGUAUAGGUAAUAUGCCUCUUACUAAGGGAUAACAAUUGGAAACGUUUGCUAAUACCUUAUACUCCUUAUUAACAUAAGUUAAUAAGGGAAAGAUUUAUUGGUAAGAGAUUAGCCUGCAUUGUAUCAGUUAGUUGGUGGGGUAAUGGCUUACCAAGACUAUGACACAUAACUGGUUUGAGAGGAUGAUCAGUCACACUGGAACUGAGACACGGUCCAGACUCCUACGGGAGGCAGCAGUGGGGAAUAUUGCACAAUGGACGAAAGUCUGAUGCAGCAAUGCCGCGUGGAGGAUGACACAUUUCGGUGCGUAAACUCCUUUUAUAUGAGAAGAUAAUGACGGUAUUAUAUGAAUAAGCACCGGCUAACUCCGUGCCAGCCGCCGCAGUAA
This 484-nucleotide ribosomal RNA is filed under the name uncultured bacterium. RNAcentral's name for it is "partial 16S ribosomal RNA". It matches the Rfam family "Bacterial small subunit ribosomal RNA", at positions 29 to 523 of the family's 1533-position model. The record is from RNAcentral.